This 1474-nucleotide long non-coding RNA is filed under the name Monodelphis domestica (gray short-tailed opossum). Its description in RNAcentral is "lncRNA (ENSMODG00000051047.1)". The record is from RNAcentral. Lineage: Eukaryota; Metazoa; Chordata; Mammalia; Didelphimorphia; Didelphidae.
GGAAAGAUAGUGGGGAAGAGAAAGUGGGCAUGUGCAUUCUGCAUUGUAAAUAUCUGGCAACUUCUGGCACUCAGAUAACCCUUGUUUCCUGCCCGCCUGAGUCCCUCAUGUCCAGAGGCUCACCUCUUGAUGAGAGUGAGGUCAGAGUCCUCCAUUCAGAGGGAGUUUGAAAAGUGACAUCAAGAAGAGAAUACAUGGAGAACUGGGAGGAAGUGAAGGCUUUUUCCCUAGCAAUCCAGAGCAAGUAAGUGUGUUUUUCAUCCCAGUUCUCAGAGGAGGCUUACUAAUGGAAAGGUCAGUCAUAUGUAGCUGGAGAGUUUUUCUUUGUUAAGCUUUUUAUUGUUUAAAAUUAUAAAUUAAGAUAUAAUCUCCAAAGAAUUUUAAUCAUAACACAUUUACUGUGUCAACUACUGCUCAAAGAUCUUUACAGUUACCUUAACUGAUUCUCAUGGUAACCUAGUAACUGAAUCCUAAGAUAUCUUCUUUUUACAGACAAAGAAAUUGAAGCAAAUAGAAGUUAAGUGACUUGCUCAUUGUCACACAGGAAGUACAUUUCUGAGACUGCAUUUGAACUUAUGGUUUCCUAACUUCAGGGCCAGUGCUUUAUCCACUAUACCACCUAACUGCUUCUAUGUACCUGGAGUGAGUAUGAACAACGACUGGAAGCGAAGACUCUGUGAGGAAAAUCAUUGGAUAAAUUUAGUCAUUAGGGCAAAACAACACCCAGAAAUUGGAGCAAGCAUUCAAGAACAAAAUAUUAGAGGAUUCAUGAAACCAUGAGAUAUGCCCCAGAAGUGCCAAUCCAAAAUUCUCCAGAUGCCUAGAACACUUUAACCUUAUUCCUCAUCUCUGAAAUGCUACUCUCCUUUGGCAGAUGAUGAAAGAGACUGGCACCUCUGGUCCUGUGAACUUAAAAGGCCAUGAGUUCCUGAGACAAUGCAAAAUUGAUUCCUGGAGGCCAAGAAGUGACUUUUUGGACUCCAUCCCAGAUUUGAAUGAGGCAAGGAAUCAUCUGACAGAAAUAUUACCUUUGGAUGUAACUCUGAGUACAAAUAUUUCAUAGAAACUAAGUUUAAAUGUGACCUACUCUCUCCACUCUCUUCACACAGUGUAUAGCAUAAUAUGCCACUGAGGAAUUGAAUUAUUAUGUUUCUUCAUGCUCUCUCUCUAAAAUUAAUAUACCUGAAAAGUUAUCCAAGGUAAGUGGUUAAAUGGAAAUGGGAUGGUAAUCUGAGACAUCAAAGAUAUGAGAAGAAUAUAACUAGCAUGUCUUUGAGCUGGUAUGAUAACAGUAGAGAAUAUAAGGUCUGAAUUCUUCAGCAUGCCCUAGAAUCUUGGAUAGAAUAUGUAGUGACAUGAUUCAUAGCCAUCUAGAAUAUAAUAGUCAUAAAACAUUUCAAAUAUGAAGUUCCUUCUAUAACAUAAUUUUCCAAAGUUUAUAAAAACUAGUCAAAGUAGCUACUCCAUCCAUGAC